UACGUAGGGGGGAAGCGUUAUCCGGAAUUACGGGGCGUAAAGCGCACGCAGGCGGUUCGCCAAGUUUGGAGUGACAGUUGUCGGCUCAACCGACAAAGGACUUCAAAAACUGGUGAACUUGAGGACGAGAGAGGAACAUGGAACUCCGGGUGUAGUAGUGAAAUGCGUAGAUAUCUGGAAGAACACCAAUGGCGAAGGCAAUGUUCUGGCUCGUUUCUGACGCUCAGGUGCGAAAGCCAGGGGAGCGAACGGG
This 253-nucleotide ribosomal RNA is filed under the name uncultured bacterium. RNAcentral describes it as "partial 16S ribosomal RNA". It matches the Rfam family "Bacterial small subunit ribosomal RNA", at positions 524 to 776 of the family's 1533-position model. The record is from RNAcentral.